Non-coding RNA from Daphnia pulex (common water flea), 74 nucleotides. Lineage: Eukaryota; Metazoa; Arthropoda; Branchiopoda; Diplostraca; Daphniidae. The record is from Rfam.
GCCUCUGUGGCGCAAUUGCUUAGAGCGUUCGGCUGUUAACCGGAAGGCUGGUGGUUCGAUGCCACCCAGGGGCG